UUUGGGAUUUUUUUUGAAACCAGGGGUAUUUUGGGAAUUUUCUUGAAAAAUUAGGUUAUUUUUGUAAAAAAACCAUUUUAAUAAAGGUGAUUAUAACUUUCUUGAUUUGGUCAAAAUAAAGUUUUAAUUAUUUUUUGAACAUUAAAGUAAAAAAACAAACUAUUUUUUUAACUAAAUCAUAAAAUAAUUUAAUUAAUAUUAAUAUAGAUAAAAACUAAAAUGGAU
RNAcentral lists this long non-coding RNA (225 nucleotides) under Lathyrus oleraceus (garden pea). RNAcentral's name for it is "Pisum sativum (pea) long non-coding RNA (PSAT_LNC010309)". Lineage: Eukaryota; Viridiplantae; Streptophyta; Magnoliopsida; Fabales; Fabaceae. The record is from RNAcentral.